This is a long non-coding RNA of Rhinopithecus roxellana (golden snub-nosed monkey), 799 nucleotides long. RefSeq lists it as uncharacterized. Lineage: Eukaryota; Metazoa; Chordata; Mammalia; Primates; Cercopithecidae. The record is from RefSeq and is a predicted model, not a curated record. The transcript has 3 exons.
GAAGAACCAUUCAAACCUGGGAGGCAGAGGUUGUAGUGAGCUGAGACUGUGCCACUGCACUCCAGCCUGGGCGACAGAGACUCCAUCUUAGAAAAAGAAAGAAAACCUCCCAGACUGAAGAGAAGCAGCCCCAGGGGCAUGCACCCUCAGCUUCCCCCUCCAAACUGGCUUCAUAUGUAACCCUCAUGGGAGGGAAUUUCUGGUCCCAAACAGCAUGACAGCACUUUGAACAUUCCAGUAUCUGUUUAUAAGGUAGUGUCCGCAGGGAUUUGGAAGGUGUCUGGAGAAUGCUUGGAAGGCAGCGCGCUGACUUCAGCGGCCUCCUCCAGCCAGCAGCACGAAGGGGUGAAAGGGUCCCAGGAGCCCCACCCCACCUACCGCCAUCUCAUCCUGAGUCUGAGAGCUGCAGCCGGCACAGACCAGGCGCCCCUGGACUGAGGGUGCACAGAUUGACCCCUGGGGAAGUUUUCAUCCUGCAGAAAGGGGAGAAGAGAGGAAAAUGAAGUAACCUGAGCAAAACUCUGGGCCUGUUUCCUCAUCUGUACUCAGUGGACGUUAAGAGGACAGAUCUCAAACGAAGGCUGCAAAGGCAUCAUUCAUUCACAAAAACCACUUAGUUAACCAUUUGCUAGACUUGGUCACUGCCAUUAUGGAGGCCAUAGGCUACAAGAGGAGACUAACUCAGAAACAACGGUUUAAUUCUACAAAGGUAAAAUUGCACUUGUGAUAAGCAUUAAGAAAAAAAAAUAUUUAUUUUAUUUAUUUAUUUUUGGAGACUGUCUCGCUCUGUCGCCCAGGC